AAUGAACGCUGGCGGCGCGCCUAAUACAUGCAAGUCGAGCGAGAAGACGUAGCAAUACGUCUGUAAAGCGGCGAACGGGUGAGGAAUACAUGGGUAACCUACCCUCGAGUGGGGAAUAACUAGCCGAAAGGUUAGCUAAUACCGCGUACGCUCCUUGGACUUCGGUUCAGGGAGGAAAGCGAUACCGUGGGUAUCGCGCUCUUGGAUGGGCUCAUGUCCUAUCAGCUUGUUGGUGAGGUAACGGCUCACCAAGGCUUCGACGGGUAGCUGGUCUGAGAGGACGAUCAGCCACACUGGCACUGCGACACGGGCCAGACUCCUACGGGAGGCAGCAGUAAGGAAUAUUGCGCAAUGGGCGAAAGCCUGACGCAGCGACGCCGCGUGGGGGAUGAAGGUCUUCGGAGUGUAAACCUCUGUUGCCCGGGACGAAUAGCGGAUUAUUCCGACUUGACGGUACCGGGUGAGGAAGCACCGGCUAACUCCGUGCCAGCCGCCGCCGU
Molecule: ribosomal RNA, 500 nt
Filed under: uncultured bacterium
Lineage: Bacteria
Description: bacterial SSU rRNA
Rfam family: Bacterial small subunit ribosomal RNA
Source: RNAcentral